GCUGGGGGGAUUAGUGGCGAACGGGUGAGUAACACGUGAGUAACCUGCCCUUAACUCUGGGAUAAGCCUGGGAAACUGGGUCUAAUACUGGAUAUUGACUUUUCACCGCAUGGUGGUUGGUUGAAAGAUUUAUUGGUUUUGGAUGGACUCGCGGCCUAUCAGCUUGUUGGUGAGGUAAUGGCUCACCAAGGCGACGACGGGUAGCCGGCCUGAGAGGGUGACCGGCCACACUGGGACUGAGACACGGCCCAGACUCCUACGGGAGGCAGCAGUGGGGAAUAUUGCACAAUGGGCGAAAGCCUGAUGCAGCGACGCCGCGUGAGGGAUGACGGCCUUCGGGUUGUAAACCUCUUUCAGUAGGGAACAAGGCCAGUGUUUAGUUGGUUGAGGGUACCUGCAGAAGAAGCGCCGGCUAACUACGUGCCAGCAGCCGCGGUAAUACGUAGGGCGCAAGCGUUAUCCGGAAUUAUUGGGCGUAAAGAGCUCGUAGGCGGUUUGUCGCGUCUGCCGUGAAAGUCCGGGGCUCAACUCCGGAUCUGCGGUGGGUACGGGCAGACUA
Molecule: ribosomal RNA, 559 nt
Filed under: Arthrobacter sp.
Lineage: Bacteria; Bacillati; Actinomycetota; Actinomycetes; Micrococcales; Micrococcaceae
Description: bacterial SSU rRNA
Rfam family: Bacterial small subunit ribosomal RNA
Source: RNAcentral